AAAUAGCCCUGAUGGUAGUGACAUCCUUUUUGUUUCUCUCGAUAUUACCACAAACGUUGUUUGUUCCUCUUAAUAUCAAAUGCUCGAGAUGACGGCAAAAAGAUACAACGUACAGCAGGAAAAAGC
Molecule: small RNA, 126 nt
Filed under: Flavobacterium haoranii
Lineage: Bacteria; Pseudomonadati; Bacteroidota; Flavobacteriia; Flavobacteriales; Flavobacteriaceae
Description: Flavobacterium sp. LQY-7 Flavo-1 RNA
Rfam family: Flavo-1 RNA
Source: Rfam by way of RNAcentral